RNAcentral lists this ribosomal RNA (793 nucleotides) under uncultured archaeon. Its description in RNAcentral is "bacterial SSU rRNA". It matches the Rfam family "Archaeal small subunit ribosomal RNA", at positions 85 to 879 of the family's 1478-position model. The record is from RNAcentral.
ACUGCUCAGUAACACGUGGACAACCUGCCCAAAGGUCCGGGAUAACCCCGGGAAACUGGGGAUAAUACCGGAUAAAUCACAGGUACUGGAAGGUCUUGUGGUUGAAACUUCCGGGGCCUUUGGAUGGGUCUGCGGCGGAUUAGGUUGUUGCCGGUGUAACGUACCGUCAAGCCUGUAAUCCGUACGGGUUGUGGGAGCAAGAGCCCGGAGAUGGAUUCUGAGACACGAAUCCAGGCCCUACGGGGCGCAGCAGGCGCGAAAACUCUACAAUGCAGGCAACUGCGAUAGGGGAACAUCGAGUGAUACUCAUAUUGGGUGUCUGUCCCACCGUCUAAAAAACGGUGGUUAGCAAGGGCCGGGCAAGACCGGUGCCAGCCGCCGCGGUAAUACCGGCGGCUCGAGUGGUGGCCGAUAUUAUUGAGUCUAAAGGGUCCGUAGCCGGCUUUGCAAGUCUUUUGGGAAAUCCAGCGGCUUAACCGUUGGUCGUCCGGGAGAUACUACAUUGCUUGGGACUGGGAGAGGUAGGAGGUACUCAGGGGGUAGGAGUGAAAUCCUGUAAUCCUUUGGGGACCACCGGUGGCGAAGGCGUCCUACCAGAACAGGUCCGACGGUGAGGGACGAAAGCUAGGGGCACGAACCGGAUUAGAUACCCGGGUAGUCCUAGCCGUAAACGAUGCUCGCUAGGUGUCACAACAAUCGUGAAUUGUUGUGGUGCCGUAGGGAAGCCGUGAAGCGAGCCACCUGGGAAGUACGACCGCAAGGUUGAAACUUAAAGGAAUUGGCGGGGGAGCAC